RNAcentral lists this ribosomal RNA (1464 nucleotides) under metagenome. RNAcentral describes it as "bacterial LSU rRNA". It matches the Rfam family "Bacterial large subunit ribosomal RNA", at positions 1432 to 2925 of the family's 2925-position model. The record is from RNAcentral.
GAAAUUCCUGUACCUUAAGUAAACAGAACUGUGGGGACACGUGUGGAGAGCACAAGCCGGAAAUGGAAAAGCCGGUGCAAGCGAGGUAGGAGUACAGUAGGCAAAUCCGCUGUACAAUCCGAAGACGUGAUGCGGACCGAAUUAAGAGUAGGGAAGUGUGUGAGCCAUGCGUCAAGAAAAGCCGCUAUUGUUUUACUUAGCCCGUACCGUAAACCGACACAGGUGGAUGAGGAGAGAAUCCUAAGGCCGACGGGAGAAGCAUUGUUAAGGAACUCGGCAAAAUGACUCCGUAACUUCGGGAGAAGGAGUGCCAGCGAGAGCUGGCCGCAGAGAAUUGGCCCAAGCAACUGUUUAGCAAAAACACAGGUCUAUGCAAAACCGUAAGGUGAAGUAUAUGGGCUGACGCCUGCCCGGUGCUGGAAGGUUAAGAGGAGAGGUUAGCGGCAACGCGAAGCUUUGAAUUUAAGCCCCAGUAAACGGCGGCCGUAACUAUAACGGUCCUAAGGUAGCGAAAUUCCUUGUCGGGUAAGUUCCGACCCGCACGAAAGGCGUAAUGAUUUGGGCACUGUCUCAACAAUGCACCCGGUGAAAUUGAAAUACCAGUGAAGAUGCUGGUUACCUGCGCCAGGACGGAAAGACCCCAUGGAGCUUUACUCCAGCUUGAUACUGGGAUUCGGUAUUGCAUGUACAGGAUAGGUGGAGGCUAGGAAGUGAUAACGCCAGUUGUCACGGAGCCGCUGUUGGGAUACCACCCUUGCAGUAUUGGAUUUCUAACCAGCGACCAUGAACUGGUCGGGGGACAAUGUCAGGUGGGGAGUUUGACUGGGGCGGUCGCCUCCGAAAGGGUAUCGGAGGCGCUCAAAGGUUCCCUCAGAAUGGACGGAAACCAUUCGAAGAGUGCAAAGGCAGAAGGGAGCUUGACUGCGACACCGACGGGUGGAGCAGGUACGAAAGUAGGACUUAGUGAUCCGGUGGUAUAAAGUGGGAUUGCCAUCGCUCAACGGUUAAAAGCUACCCUGGGAUAACAGGCUUAUCACUCCCAAGAGUUCACAUCGACGGAGUGGUUUGGCACCUCGAUGUCGGCUCAUCGCAUCCUGGGGCUGAAGUAGGUCCCAAGGGUUGGGCUGUUCGCCCAUUAAAGCGGUACGCGAGCUGGGUUCAGAACGUCGUGAGACAGUUCGGUCCCUAUCCGGCGUGGGCGUAGGAUAUUUGAGAGGAGCUGUCCUUAGUACGAGAGGACCGGGAUGGACUGGCCGCUGGUGUAUCUGUUGCAUACCAAAUGCAUGGCAGAGUAGCCAAGCCGGGACGGGAUAAACGCUGAAGGCAUCUAAGCGUGAAGCCCCCCUCAAGAUGAGAUAUCCCUACGUAAGUAGUAAGACCCCUUGAAGACGACGAGGUAGAUAGGUCAGAGGUGGAAGUACAGUAAUGUAUGGAGCUGACUGAUACUAAUCGGUCGAGGGCAUG